Ailuropoda melanoleuca (giant panda) is the source of this 101-nucleotide small nuclear RNA. Lineage: Eukaryota; Metazoa; Chordata; Mammalia; Carnivora; Ursidae. The record is from Ensembl.
GUUCUCACUUUGGCACACAUACACUGAAAUUGGAACGACAGAGAUUAGCACGGUCCUCGCGCAAGGACAACACAACAAUUCGUGAAGCGUUCCAUAUUGAA